UGGCGAACGGGUGAGUAUACAUCGGAACGUACCCAGGAGUGGGGGACAACCUCGAGAAAUCGAGGCUAAUACCGCAUACGCUGAGGGAAAGCGGCGCUCAUGGAGCGGCCGAUGUCGGAUUAGCUAGUUGGCGGGGUAAGAGCCCACCAAGGCGACGAUCCGUAGCUGGUUUGAGAGAACGACCAGCCACACUGGGACUGAGACACGGCCCAGACUCCUACGGGAGGCAGCAGUGGGGAAUUUUGGACAAUGGGGGCAACCCUGAUCCAGACAUGCCGCGCGAGUGAAGAAGGCCUUCGGGUUGUAAAGCUCUUUCGGCCGGAACGAAUGACGGUACUGGAAGAAGAAGCACCGGCUAACUACGUGCCAGCAGCCGCGGUAAUACGUAGGGUGCGAGCGUUAAUCGGAAUUACUGGGCGUAAAGCGUGCGCAGGCGGUUCCGCAAGUCAGAUGUGAAAUCCCCGGGCUUAACCUGGGAACUGCGUUUGAAAC
RNAcentral lists this ribosomal RNA (492 nucleotides) under uncultured soil bacterium. RNAcentral's name for it is "bacterial SSU rRNA". It matches the Rfam family "Bacterial small subunit ribosomal RNA", at positions 96 to 633 of the family's 1533-position model. The record is from RNAcentral.